RNAcentral lists this ribosomal RNA (497 nucleotides) under uncultured bacterium. RNAcentral's name for it is "partial 16S ribosomal RNA". It matches the Rfam family "Bacterial small subunit ribosomal RNA", at positions 28 to 507 of the family's 1533-position model. The record is from RNAcentral.
GAUGAACGCUGGCGGCGUGCCUAAUACAUGCAAGUCGAGCGAACAGAUGAGGAGCUUGCUCCUCUGACGUUAGCGGCGGACGGGUGAGUAACACGUGGAUAACCUACCUAUAAGACUGGGAUAACUUCGGGAAACCGGAGCUAAUACCGGAUAAUAUAUUGAACCGCAUGGUUCAAUAGUGAAAGACGGUUUUGCUGUCACUUAUAGAUGGAUCCGCGCCGCAUUAGCUAGUUGGUAAGGUAACGGCUUACCAAGGCAACGAUGCGUAGCCGACCUGAGAGGGUGAUGGGCAAACCGGGAACGAAACCAGGGCCAGAACCCCGAGGGGGGGAACAAGGAGGAAAUCUUCAGAAAGGGGCGAAAGCGGGAAGGAAAACGGCGGGGGGAGGAAGGAAGGUCUUGGGAACGAAAAACUGUUUUAUUAGGAAAAAAAAAAGGGGAAAGAACAAAUGCAUUUUUGGAGGUAACAAAAAAAAAAACCCACGACAAACAACGUC